This 267-nucleotide ribosomal RNA is filed under the name uncultured bacterium. RNAcentral describes it as "partial 16S ribosomal RNA". It matches the Rfam family "Bacterial small subunit ribosomal RNA", at positions 524 to 794 of the family's 1533-position model. The record is from RNAcentral.
UACAGAGGUCUCAAGCGUUGUUCGGAUUCAUUGGGCGUAAAGGGUGCGUAGGUGGCGAGGUUAGUCAGGUGUGAAAUCUCGGGGGCUCAACCCCGAACUAGCACUUGAUACUGCCUUGCUAGAGUACUGAGAGGAGAUGGAAUUACGUGUAGCAGUGAAAUGCGUAGAUAUCGUAAGGAAGACCAGUGGCGAAGGCGAAUCUCUGGACAGUUACUGACACUGAGGCACGAAGGCCAGGGGAGCAAACGGGAUUAGAUACCCUGUAGU